Linepithema humile (Argentine ant) is the source of this 837-nucleotide non-coding RNA. The record is from RefSeq and is a predicted model, not a curated record. NCBI's taxonomy places the organism in Eukaryota, Metazoa, Arthropoda, Insecta, Hymenoptera, Formicidae.
UAUUGCAUCACUGCUUCUCACUUGUGUGGAAUGGAACUUUGAAAUCCGCUAGAAAACAUCGCGUGUGAUCAUCGUACUUGAAAGAAACACAUACCUACGGGCAGACGACAUGGCAGACAAUAAAAUGAUAGAUAUAUUAAAAAUCCUACAUUUAGAACAUCUGGAGAAUAAUUUUAAAAUUGAUUUUAUCGCAAACAGCCAUGUAUAUUUCGUAAAUGCAUCCACCACUAUCAAGACGAAUCGAUAAUUGUCCGGAGUUUUUUCCAACUGCCCAAAGUGAUCAAUGUGCAGUGUCUCGAAAGGAAUAGUCCCUUGUUUGACCACUUACAAUUUCCCUUCCGAUCUUUCGGUGGAAAAAGUUGUAAUUAAACAUUUAAUACAAUUUCGGAUAUAUUCCUGAACAGUCUGCUUCAUACAAGGAAACCAAACAUAAAAUUACAAAACAAGUAUUACAACAUCUAGAUGAAGAAUUAAUUAAGGAAUUGAUACCCUUGAUUGGAGAUAGGAGUACAUUUUUAGCGUUUUGGAAACCAAAUUAUAAGUAUGACAAAUGAAUUGGGUGAACUAUAGCUAAAAUGAUUGUUCAGACUUUUCCAAGUGAAAGAUCCGAAACGUAUUAUGUUCCUCCAGUUAGGAAAAAGGAUUCCAUACAUAAUAAAUCAAUGGCAUCGAAGGGUAAAUUGAUAUCUAUGUGGCGAAAUAGAAAAUACAAAAGCAAUCAAUUGCUUGAAAAAGUCAUCAAAGUAACCGUAAAUCAAACGGAUAUUAAGCAGACAGAACAAGAAAUGUGAGAUCAUACGAGAUCAUACGACACGUGGCAAUAAUGAAUGAUGGACU